GCCCUGAAAAUGGAUGGCGCUAAAGCGUCGUGCCUAUACCGGGCCGUCAACGGCAUAGUUGGCCUCUGCCUUCGGGCAAGAGCCGUUACGUCUUGACGAGUAGGAGGGUCGCGGCGGUGUGCGCAGAAGGGUCUGGGCGUGAGCCUGCCUGGAGCCGCCGUCGGCGCAGAUCUUGGUGGUAGUAGCAAAUACUCUAGAGAGGGCCUGGAGAGCCGAUGUGGAGAAGGGUUUCUUGUGAACAGCCGUUGUACAAGAGUAAGUCGAUCCUAAGUGCUAGGAGAAAUCCGAUGUUGAUGGUCUGGCUGUCGACUCUAUUCUCAACACUUAGAAAACGCUUCAGGCUUCAGGGCCGUAAAAGCGUAGGCUUUAUCUCAUACCAUACACCUAGUGUGGAUUGCCCUGACGUGUUUUCCGGUGGGCUGUAGCUUACACGCUUCAGUCUGUACGGACUUUUUCUCGCGUCAGGGUAGCCCAGGUUCUACGACACGUGUGUGGUGUCUUGCUAGCUGCACCGAAGGUGUUGGAACUAGCCUCGGAGCUUUUGCCGUUGAAGGGCGAAAGGGAAUCCGGUCAACAUUCCGGAACCCGGCUGCGUAAACCGCUCUCUGUUGGCGUAAGCCGGCGAGCGCUUGUUGGGGUAACCCAAGCUGUCCCGGAGACUCUGGCGGGGGGUCUGGGAAGAGUUUUCUUUUCUUUUUAAGCGUUCGUGGACCCUGGAAUUCUAUAGCAGAGAGAUAGGGUUUGGAACGCGAAAAACAUCGCAGUUGCGGCGGUGACCGGACUUCCCCCCCGGACCUUGAAAAUCUGGGUGAGAGCGACGCGGUGAUCGCGCCGGUUCGUAUCCAUAUCCGCAUCUGGUCUCCAAGGUUCAAAGCCUCUUGUCGUAGAAUAGUAGGUAAGGGAAGCGGAAAUUGGAUCCGUAACUUCGGGACAAGGAUUGGCUCUGAGGAUCGGGGCGUGUCGGGCUUGGUCGGGAAGCGGGUCAGUGCCAACGUGCCGGGCCUGGGCGAGUGUCGUGUUGGUAUCCUUGGCAGCAAUGUCGUUUCCCACGAUCCGAACUCGGUCCCGUGCCUUGGCCUCCCGCGGAUCUUCCUUGCUGCGGGUUUUCGACCAAGCAGACCAGGCUGGGGCUUCAGGCCCGCUUGGACGGCUUCGAAUCAAUCCCUUCGGCCGCCAUUCAACGGUCAACUCAGAACUGGCACGGACAAGGAGAAUCCGACUGCCUAAUUAAAGCAAAGCAUUGCGAGGGCUCUAGCCGAGUGCUUACGCAAUGUGAUUUCUGCCCAGUGCUCUGAAUGUCAACGUGUAGAAAUUCAAGCAAGCGCGGGUAAACGGCGGGAGUAACUAUGACUCUCUUAAGGUAGCCAAAUGCCUCGUCAUCCAAUUAGUGACGCGCAUGAAUGGAUUAACGAGAUUCUCACUGUCCCUAUCUACUAUCUAGCGAAACCACAGCCAAGGGAACGGGCUUGGAAACAUUAGCGGGGAAAGAAGACCCUGUUGAGCUUGACUCUAGCUGGCACUGUAAGGAGACAUGAGAGGUGUAGCAUAAGUGGGAGAAGGUGGGCUUUAUGCCUGUCCGUCGACGGUGAAAUACCACUACUUUCAUCGUUUCUUUACUUACUCGGAUAGGCGGAGAGCGUGUCCGUCGAGGGUUCAGCCCACGCGGACCGGUAUUCUCGCGCCAAGCGUCCGGGUUGCCGGCAAGCGCCCGUCAGGCUUGGGCGUGUCGUUGAUUUGUCACCGCAAGGUGGCGGUCUUUGCUCACGUCCCUCGCCUUGGCUGGGCGCCGUCGACCGGCAAAUACUCCCACGCGUGAUCCGAUUCGAGGACACAGCCAGGCGGGGAGUUUGACUGGGGCGGUACAUCUGUCAAAUGAUAACGCAGGUGUCCUAAGGCCAGCUCAGCGAGGACAGAAACCUCGCGUAGAGCAAAAGGGCAAAUGCUGGUUUGAUCCCGAUGUCCAGUAGGCAUAGGGACUGCGAAAGCAGGGCCUGUCGAUCCUUUUGGCUUGAAGAGAUUUCAGCAAGAGGUGUCAGAAAGUUACCACAGAUAACUGGCUUGUGGCGGCCAAGCGUUCAUAGCGACGUCGCUUUUUGAUCCUU
RNAcentral lists this ribosomal RNA (2102 nucleotides) under Kuvera yecheonensis. RNAcentral describes it as "partial large subunit ribosomal RNA". It matches the Rfam family "Eukaryotic large subunit ribosomal RNA", at positions 1309 to 2878 of the family's 3401-position model. Lineage: Eukaryota; Metazoa; Arthropoda; Insecta; Hemiptera; Cixiidae. The record is from RNAcentral.